Molecule: transfer RNA, 75 nt
Filed under: Mycetomoellerius zeteki
Lineage: Eukaryota; Metazoa; Arthropoda; Insecta; Hymenoptera; Formicidae
Description: Trachymyrmex zeteki tRNA
Rfam family: tRNA
About the family: Transfer RNA (tRNA) molecules are approximately 80 nucleotides in length. Their secondary structure includes four short double-helical elements and three loops (D, anti-codon, and T loops). Further hydrogen bonds mediate the characteristic L-shaped molecular structure. tRNAs have two regions of fundamental functional importance: the anti-codon, which is responsible for specific mRNA codon recognition, and the 3' end, to which the tRNAs corresponding amino acid is attached (by aminoacyl-tRNA synthetases). tRNAs cope with the degeneracy of the genetic code in two manners: having more than one tRNA (with a specific anti-codon) for a particular amino acid; and 'wobble' base-pairing, i.e. permitting non-standard base-pairing at the 3rd anti-codon position.
Source: Rfam by way of RNAcentral
GCCUCAGUGUCAAAUUGGCUAAGACACUCGCCCCGGAAAGUCGAGAGGUCCCAGGUUCGAAUCCUGGCUGAGGUA